This 346-nucleotide ribosomal RNA is filed under the name uncultured bacterium. RNAcentral describes it as "bacterial SSU rRNA". It matches the Rfam family "Bacterial small subunit ribosomal RNA", at positions 8 to 349 of the family's 1533-position model. The record is from RNAcentral.
AGAGUUUGAUCCUGGCUCAGAUUGAACGCUGGCGGCAUGCUUUACACAUGCAAGUCGAACGGCAGCACAGGGAGCUUGCUCCCGGGUGGCGAGUGGCGCACGGGUGAGUAAUACAUCGGAACGUGUCCUGUUGUGGGGGAUAACUGCUCGAAAGGGUGGCUAAUACCGCAUGAGACCUGAGGGUGAAGGCGGGGGAUCGCAAGACCUCGCGCAAUUGGAGCGGCCGAUGCCCGAUUAGCUAGUUGGUGAGGUAAAGGCUCACCAAGGCGACGAUCGGUAGCUGGUCUGAGAGGACGACCAGCCACACGUGGGACUGGAGACACGGCCCAGACUCCGUACGGGAGCA